This 73-nucleotide transfer RNA is filed under the name Camelus bactrianus (Bactrian camel). It matches the Rfam family "tRNA". Rfam says of the family: Transfer RNA (tRNA) molecules are approximately 80 nucleotides in length. Their secondary structure includes four short double-helical elements and three loops (D, anti-codon, and T loops). Further hydrogen bonds mediate the characteristic L-shaped molecular structure. tRNAs have two regions of fundamental functional importance: the anti-codon, which is responsible for specific mRNA codon recognition, and the 3' end, to which the tRNAs corresponding amino acid is attached (by aminoacyl-tRNA synthetases). tRNAs cope with the degeneracy of the genetic code in two manners: having more than one tRNA (with a specific anti-codon) for a particular amino acid; and 'wobble' base-pairing, i.e. permitting non-standard base-pairing at the 3rd anti-codon position. The record is from Rfam by way of RNAcentral. RNAcentral also lists the same sequence under 1 other name. Lineage: Eukaryota; Metazoa; Chordata; Mammalia; Artiodactyla; Camelidae.
AAGGGUAUACCUCCAGUGGUAGAGUGCAUGCCUAGCAUGCAAGAGGUCCUGGGUUCAAUCCCCAGUACCUCCA